This 100-nucleotide microRNA precursor is filed under the name Nasonia vitripennis (jewel wasp). RNAcentral describes it as "microRNA nvi-mir-932 precursor". Its record names the gene nvi-mir-932. The stretch from base 9 to 86 matches the Rfam family "mir-932 microRNA precursor family". The record is from miRBase by way of RNAcentral. Lineage: Eukaryota; Metazoa; Arthropoda; Insecta; Hymenoptera; Pteromalidae.
AGGCGCGUUGCCUCUUCAAUUCCGUAGUGCAUUGCAGUAGAUUUAAAAGAAAGAUUCUGCAAGCACCGCGGGAGUGAGGCGGCUUCGUGUCGAAUCAUCG